RNAcentral lists this non-coding RNA (748 nucleotides) under Wormaldia spinosa. The record is from RNAcentral. Lineage: Eukaryota; Metazoa; Arthropoda; Insecta; Trichoptera; Philopotamidae.
UUAUAUAAAUUUAUAGAUUAAAAAUUUAUUUAUUUUAAUAUAUAGUAUAUAAUUUUUUAAAAUUAAUGAAAUUUAAUUAAGUAAUAAUUAUAAUUUAUUAAUAAAAUUUUGUGCCAGCAAUUGCGGUUAAACAAUAAAUAAUUUAAAUAUUAGUAAAUUUGAAUAAAUAUGUAUUUAAAUAAUAUUAAUUAAUUUUAAUAGUGAAAUUUAAUAAAUUAAUAAUAAUUAUUUAUGAAAAUAUGAUUUUUGUUAAAUUAGAAUAUAAACUAGGAUUAGAUACCCUAUUAUUCUAAAAUUAAAAUUAAAAAAAUUUAAGUAAUUAAAGUUUAAUAUUAAGUAAAACUUAAAAAAAUUGGCAGUAUUUUAAUCAAUUUAGAGGAACUUGUAAAUUAAUUGAUAAUCCACAAAUAAUUUUACUUAAAUUAUAAAUUUGUAUAUCGUUGUUAAAAAAAUAUUUUUAAAAAAUUAUAAAUAUUUAAAGUUUUAGUUUAUAAAAUUAAAUCAAAUCAAGGUGCAGUCUAUAUUUAAGAUUUAUUAUGAGUUACAGUUUUUAAAAAUAAAUAGAAAAUAGUUUGAAAAAAUUAUUAGAAAUUGGAUUUAAAAGUAAUGAGAUUUAAAUUAAAUUCAUGAUUAAUGUUUUAAAAUAUGUACAUAUUGCCCGUCAUUUUCAAAAAAAUUUACUUUAUUGGAAUUUAUUAUUUUGAAACAAGUCGUAACAAAGUAGAUUUACUGGAAAGUGAUUCUAGAA